GUGAAUCAUCGAAUUUUUGAACGCAAAUCGCACUCUCCUCGGAGAGUAUGCCUGUUUGAGGGUCAGCCUAUAAAAAAUCGACAUCGUUGCUGUUUCGCGGUGGCGUUCGUCGGAAAUUGGGUUAUCUUAAAUCUUUUUGGGUUUUAAGCGUCUUAAAUUUUUCUUUUUGGUUCCAUGAAUGUUUCUAAGAUAUAUUUUUUAACACGUUUAUGGUAUCGAUUUUUAUUAGUCGUGACCAUAAUAUCG
RNAcentral lists this unclassified non-coding RNA (246 nucleotides) under Glomeraceae sp. RNAcentral's name for it is "partial contains 5.8S ribosomal RNA and internal transcribed spacer 2". The stretch from base 1 to 65 matches the Rfam family "5.8S ribosomal RNA", at positions 84 to 154 of the family's 154-position model. Lineage: Eukaryota; Fungi; Glomeromycota; Glomeromycetes; Glomerales; Glomeraceae. The record is from RNAcentral.